GGGGAUUUAACUCAGUGGUAGAGUGCUUGCCUAGCAAGCGCAAGGCCCUGGGUUCGGUUCCCAGCUCCA
RNAcentral lists this transfer RNA (69 nucleotides) under Rattus norvegicus (Norway rat). It matches the Rfam family "tRNA". From Rfam's summary of the family: Transfer RNA (tRNA) molecules are approximately 80 nucleotides in length. Their secondary structure includes four short double-helical elements and three loops (D, anti-codon, and T loops). Further hydrogen bonds mediate the characteristic L-shaped molecular structure. tRNAs have two regions of fundamental functional importance: the anti-codon, which is responsible for specific mRNA codon recognition, and the 3' end, to which the tRNAs corresponding amino acid is attached (by aminoacyl-tRNA synthetases). tRNAs cope with the degeneracy of the genetic code in two manners: having more than one tRNA (with a specific anti-codon) for a particular amino acid; and 'wobble' base-pairing, i.e. permitting non-standard base-pairing at the 3rd anti-codon position. The record is from Rfam by way of RNAcentral. Lineage: Eukaryota; Metazoa; Chordata; Mammalia; Rodentia; Muridae.